UUAUAUGAGCAGCACACAAGUGCACAGUUUUCAUUCACAAGAGGGGGGGAGGCCACACAAGUGGCUUCUCAAUAAUGAUCCUUCCGCAGGUUCACCUACGGAAA
RNAcentral lists this unclassified non-coding RNA (104 nucleotides) under uncultured fungus. RNAcentral describes it as "sequence contains ITS1". Lineage: Eukaryota; Fungi. The record is from RNAcentral.